UACGAAGGGGGCUAGCGUUGCUCGGAUUGACUGGGCGUAAAGGGCGCGUAGGCGGUUCGUACAGUCAGACGUGAAAUUCCUGGGCUCAACCUGGGGGCUGCGUUUGAUACGUGCGGACUUGAGUGCGGAAGAGGGUCGUGGAAUUCCCAGUGUAGAGGUGAAAUUCGUAGAUAUUGGGAAGAACACCGGUGGCGAAGGCGGCGACCUGGUCCGAUACUGACGCUGAGGCGCGACAGCGUGGGGAGCAAACAGG
This 253-nucleotide ribosomal RNA is filed under the name uncultured bacterium. RNAcentral describes it as "partial 16S ribosomal RNA". It matches the Rfam family "Bacterial small subunit ribosomal RNA", at positions 524 to 776 of the family's 1533-position model. The record is from RNAcentral.